GGACGAACGCUGGCGGCGUGCCUAAUACAUGCAAGUCGAACGAACUCUGGUAUUGAUUGGUGCUUGCAUCAUGAUUUACAUUUGAGUGAGUGGCGAACUGGUGAGUAACACGUGGGAAACCUGCCCAGAAGCGGGGGAUAACACCUGGAAACAGAUGCUAAUACCGCAUAACAACUUGGACCGCAUGGUCCGAGUUUGAAAGAUGGCUUCGGCUAUCACUUUUGGAUGGUCCCGCGGCGUAUUAGCUAGAUGGUGGGGUAACGGCUCACCAUGGCAAUGAUACGUAGCCGACCUGAGAGGGUAAUCGGCCACAUUGGGACUGAGACACGGCCCAAACUCCUACGGGAGGCAGCAGUAGGGAAUCUUCCACAAUGGACGAAAGUCUGAUGGAGCAACGCCGCGUGAGUGAAGAAGGGUUUCGGCUCGUAAAACUCUGUUGUUAAAGAAGAACAUAUCUGAGAGUAACUGUUCAGGUAUUGACGGUAUUUAACCAGAAAGCCACGGCUAACUACGUGCCAGCAGCCGCGGUAAUACGUAGGUGGCAAGCGUUGUCCGGAUUUAUUGGGCGUAAAGCGAGCGCAGGCGGUUUUUUAAGUCUGAUGUGAAAGCCUUCGGCUCAACCGAAGAAGUGCAUCGGAAACUGGGAAACUUGAGUGCAGAAGAGGACAGUGGAACUCCAUGUGUAGCGGUGAAAUGCGUAGAUAUAUGGAAGAACACCAGUGGCGAAGGCGGCUGUCUGGUCUGUAACUGACGCUGAGGCUCGAAAGUAUGGGUAGCAAACAGGAUUAGAUACCCUGGUAGUCCAUACCGUAAACGAUGAAUGCUAAGUGUUGGAGGGUUUCCGCCCUUCAGUGCUGCAGCUAACGCAUUAAGCAUUCCGCCUGGGGAGUACGGCCGCAAGGCUGAAACUCAAAGGAAUUGACGGGGGCCCGCACAAGCGGUGGAGCAUGUGGUUUAAUUCGAAGCUACGCGAAGAACCUUACCAGGUCUUGACAUACUAUGCAAAUCUAAGAGAUUAGACGUUCCCUUCGGGGACAUGGAUACAGGUGGUGCAUGGUUGUCGUCAGCUCGUGUCGUGAGAUGUUGGGUUAAGUCCCGCAACGAGCGCAACCCUUAUUAUCAGUUGCCAGCAUUAAGUUGGGCACUCUGGUGAGACUGCCGGUGACAAACCGGAGGAAGGUGGGGAUGACGUCAAAUCAUCAUGCCCCUUAUGACCUGGGCUACACACGUGCUACAAUGGAUGGUACAACGAGUUGCGAACUCGCGAGAGUAAGCUAAUCUCUUAAAGCCAUUCUCAGUUCGGAUUGUAGGCUGCAACUCGCCUACAUGAAGUCGGAAUCGCUAGUAAUCGCGGAUCAGCAUGCCGCGGUGAAUACGUUCCCGGGCCUUGUACACACCGCCCGUCACACCAUGAGAGUUUGUAACACCCAAAGUCGGUGGGGUAACCUUUUAGGAACCAGCCGCCUAAGGUGGGACAGAUG
This 1481-nucleotide ribosomal RNA is filed under the name Lactiplantibacillus plantarum. RNAcentral's name for it is "Lactobacillus plantarum 16S ribosomal RNA". It matches the Rfam family "Bacterial small subunit ribosomal RNA". Lineage: Bacteria; Bacillati; Bacillota; Bacilli; Lactobacillales; Lactobacillaceae. The record is from RNAcentral.